GUGGAUGUGAGUCAUGUUAUGUUAUGAUCAAACAUUAGAAUUUUGUGUGGCUGUGUGCAUUGCAAUGAUGCAGAGGCCGGGUAUUACCCUCCUUUCCACACACAAAAAAAAACAUUAGAUUUUUUGCAUGUGUAAUACAGCCUAAAACCACAACUUAGUUUCUGUAACGCUUUAGAUAUAAUCAUGGACUCGUGGUGAAGAUUGUGUUUUGCAAUUUGAGUCAUUUUGUUACCUUUUAGUUGAAUAUGUAUUCUGCACUUUGACAUUUGAAUUCUUUCAGGUGCUUAGAUAAGGCUGCUGUAGUCUUAGGGGACCAAGAGAUAAAGUGAUGCGGAGCAUCCUUCCAUCAUCCCCAUGGACUCUACAGCAACACAUCCAAUCCCUCAAGGACCUAUGACUCGAGCACGUGCAAGAGCUCUUGAAACCGAGGUGACAUCACUCCUCUCACAAUUCCCUUUCGAUUCACAUGAGACAUGGUUACUACCUCAAACGGAAACGCUAUGCAUACUCAGGUACCAAUGAGUUCACCGUGAAGAAGCUAGGAAGCAAGGAGAACCGGAAGCGGAAGACAUGCAUGAAGACGGAGAGGAAAAAGCACCAAGGACCAGGGUGUCCGGACGAUCCGGACGGCGGCCCGGACGAUCCGGACAGAGCCCGGACGAUCCGGACCCCGGCUCGGGCGAUCCGGCUAAUUCGACCGAAGACUACAGAAGCCUCCCCCCUGAAGCCGGAUCAUCCGGACCCCGUCCCAGAUCAUCCGGACCCUGCCCGGACGUCCGGACCGCCAGCCGGACAUCCGGCCCUGCGCCUCCACCAGCCGAGUCUCCGGAUCAUCCGGGCCUCCACCCGGAUCAUCCGGACCAGCCCGGAUCAUCCGACUUCGGACCCGGAUCAUCCGGCCAGCGCGUGUUGGGCUGAGCCCGUGUACCCCUUCGCCCCCUAGCCUAUAAAUAGGACUCCUCCUCCUCCUUUUGAGACUUAGCAUUGGAUUAGCUCAUGUUUGUGUGAGAGCCUUUGCUCAUCCACUUGGAUACUUCUCCUCGGAGAUCAGGACCUCUCCGGAGAAGAUCCCCAAGCGGAUUCAAGACCCCUCUUUAGGGAAGAACAUCAAGGCCUCCUCUUGGAGAAGAACGAUUCCGUUGUAUCCUUUCCCUUUGUUGAUUGUGGAUCAUAUGUAUCACUUAUGUGUGUGGUGAUCUAGCACUUGUGUGAUCGAUUCCUUGUUGGUUGAGUGAUUCUCUCUCGUUUUCCCCGUGUUUUCCCUUUGUGCUUCUGCGUGUUCUUCGUGUCUCCCCGUAGGAUCCACUCCAAAUGUGAAAGAUCGACGCUAUAGGGUUUCACCCUACAUCAUCAUGGUAUCAUGAGCCACGUUGAUCACGUUUUGGAGCCCCUACCCCUCUUUUUCUAGCUUGAUUUUGUUGUUUUCGUCCUAAAUCCGAAAAUCCCCACCAAAAAUAGCCCCAAAUUUUUUUGUGAUUGGUUAGUUUUGAUGAUGUUUUGUUGAUUUUGAUCCGUGGAUUCGGUGUGUAACUCGUGGAUCUUGCUUUUCCCCACCUUCUCCACCUAGAAAUCCAUCCAAAAUCCGCGAAAUCAUCAAAUUUCUCCCCGUUUUCAUGUUCUUCCCGAGCAGUUCCCGAGCGAGAUUGACCUGCCCGGAUCAUCCGGACCUCGACCCGGAUCAUCGGGACAUGCCCGGAUCAUCCGGCUCCUGGCCCGGAUCAUCCGGCUUCCUCUGCCGAAACUGCAGUUUUGCAGUCCUCCUCCACCACCCCAACCACCACCACUUCCACCUGCCAAACCCCAGCAACACAACCUCCGUACUACCAUUCGACUUUGGGUUCGACAAUUUGAGUGAGAUUUCCGUGUCCUUUUGUGUUUCGGCUAUUUAGGCGCGGUGCGACAUCAACAACUACCGCUCAUUUUCGUCGACUACUCAUCUUCGCUACGGACAGUAACUUCGACGACAUCUUUGUCAUACCUUGCAAUUGCAUUGAUACCAUCAUAUACCAUCUUUUGCAUUGCUUACCCAUCGAGACUAGCCAUUGAGUAUUGCCGGCAACGUGACUUGUGCACAUUAGUAAGCAUACCCCAUAUCAUAUAUAUCAUCGUGGUGCAUAUCUCGGAAUCAACUUGUGUGUCACAAAGUUGUCAUCGCAUACACAAUUGCUAUCUUGGUUCGUGAAGUUUUCAUAAGAAAAGAGCUCACAAGAGAAAGAGCCACUCAAGCUUUUAAGCAAAGAGGAAAGAUAAGCAAAGAGCUUAUGAACAAGAAGCAUAGCAUCAUACAACAUUAAGAUUGUCAUAUAAGAUCAUCUUGGAUCAUUGCACCGAAAUACCAUACAUAUAGCAUACUUGGGAUAGAGAUCGUUGCAUUUUUGCCUAGUAGGUUGUGCACAAGCUCCGUAUCCGCCUAUUGUGCAAUCGUGCUAGCGUCUCUCUAGUAUUGUGCAACAAGAGCAUUUUCGUGGAUUCCACAUUUUGGCUCACUUUUGGUUUGCACAAUCCCAUUUAUCUAUUUGCGUGUGUGUUUCCGUGUACCACUACUUGCUUGGUCUACUUGUUACAUUUGCGAAUUUGCGAAUCCUUUUCAACAUUUUUGAGUCAAGCUAACAACUGCAAUCAAUUUUGUGCCACCAUCCUAACCAAGCUCCACCAAAAGCGUUUACUUGUGUAGGUGUGAGAAUCGACAAGGAUUGGUACCAAUAGUGCUAUUUCAUUGUCCACAUUUGAGUGAACUUGAUUCAUCUUCAACUUAGGUCAAAGGUACAUUGGUAUUAGUUCUUCUCCUUCUACCACUCACAAUUUUACUUGGUAUGAUGGAUAGGCCAAGUUCUUCUACAAAUCCACCUCUCAUCGAGAACGGCGACGACAUGUCAUCAUUCGUCACAAAGAGCCACCUCUUUGGUGCUCAAAGGGCGUUACACCAAGAGCAACAAGCUAUGAGCGACCGCAUCGACAACCUCUCCACCGACUUGCGACUCUCCGAGCAACGUACAAGAGACUACUUCGACGACAAGUUCGACUCUCACAAGCAAGAAAAUGAUGCAAGAAUGGACGAGAUCCGCGCCUUGAUGAGGAACCGGCAUCAUUCCACUUCUUCCUCCUCAAGACGGAGCCGCUCGAGUCGACACCCCGAUGACACCUUCUCCGGCUCAAGUACACCGUCAUCGACCAUUCUUCGACGAGCCGCGCGUCAAGACCGUCAUGCAUCUCGGAACCCACUACAAGACAAGCAUACACAAGAGCAAGUCGAUGAGCAAGUCCCUCGUCCUCCAUCAAACCAAGUGGCUUUUGCUCAAGCUCAAGAACGACAACGACUACGGCGACAAGAAGAAGAACGAGCGCGUCUACACCAAGAACAACAAGACGCCGAGGCUCAACGUCUUCAACAACAACAACGUGAAGCGCAAGCUCUGGAGGCGCAACGUGCCCUUCAAGAAUCAAGUCGAGCCAUCGCCAACCGCAAUCGCGAACGGCGCAAUCAAGAGGAAGCCCUUCGAGAAGAAAUCCAAGAGAGGAACUACCAUCCGCGUGCGCAACGGCAAGCUCCACAAGCCCCUCCUCAAGCUCGUCAAGCUCCCCUUCAACCUCAAGUUUAACAAGAGCAAGUUGAUCAUGGACUUCCUCCGCGCCAAGAGCAACAUGAGGAUGACUACCCUCCACGCCAAGGACGUCAUCAUCACCAUCGCCAACAACACAAUGAAGAGCAACGCUAUGGCAAGCUCAAGUUCACAAUGCCCAAGUUCAAGGGAAGCAAUGAUCCGGAAGAGUACCUCUCAUGGGCAUUGAAGGUCGACAAAAUCUUUCGUUUGCACAACUAUGAGGAAGAGAAGAAGAUCGCUAUGGCAUCACUUGAGUUCCAAGACUAUGUGCUCAUAUGGUGGGAACAACUCCUUGAACGCCGGGAAGCAAGAGGUGAACCUCCAAUCACCACUUGGGCUCAAAUGAAGGAUGUCAUGCGAGCACGUUUUGUGCCAACCUACUACAACCGCGAUCUCUUCAAGAAGCUACAACUCCUCAAGCAAGGAACAAAGAGUGUUGAAGAAUACUACAAGGAAAUGGAGAUUGCCAUGAUUCGAGCCAAUGUCACGGAAGAUGAUGAGCAAACAAUGGCACGAUUCUUGAAUGGACUCAAUCAUCCCAUCAAGAAGAUCGCCGACUUCCAACCCUACUCCAACCUCAUUGAGCUCGUGCAUCAAGCUACAAAGGCGGAACGUCAAGUGCAAGAUGACUUCAAGUACGCCAAGUACUCCUACAAGACACACGACUUCUCCAACAUCCAAGCUUCAACAACUCCUCCAACUUCGACAUCAACCAAACCUUCUCCAAGCAACGACGACAAGUCAAGUUACAAGAAAACUUCCACAAGUUCAAGUCGUCUUCCUCCUACUACAAGCAACUUCAAGCCGCGUGCUUCAUCAUCUACUCCGACCGAUGAGACCAUCAAAACAAGCUCCUUCAAGUGUUUCACUUGCGGCGGCCGAGGCCACAAGUCCUAUGAAUGCACCAACAAGCGCACCAUGAUCCUCAACGACGAUGACACCUACGACUCAAUGAGUGAAGAUGAAAUGGAAGCUAUUGAGCAAGUGGCCAUGCAACGGCGCGUGAACGAGGAUGAAGAUGAUCAAGUCUUUUGUGAUGAAGAUACGAGCCCCGCUCUUGUUGUCUCCAAGGUCUUGACACUUCAACAUCAACAAGAAGAAGACCAACGAUGCCACAUCUUCCACACAAAGGCCGGCAUCAAUGGAAGGUCCGUCAAGGUCAUCAUCGAUGGAGGUAGUUGCCACAACUUGGCAAGUGAAGAACUAUGCUCCAAGCUUCAAUUGAUCAAGAAGAAGCACCCGCACCCCUACAAGGUUCAAUGGCUAAGUGACUCCGGCACUAUACGAGUCGAGCAUACGGUCCAAGUCUCUUUCCAAAUAGGUGCUUAUGAAGACACUUUGGAAUGUGAUGUGGUCCCAAUGACCGUUUGCCACCUCCUUCUUGGUCGACCAUGGCAAUUCGACCGUGGUGUCAUCCACAAUGGGCGAACCAAUCACUAUAGCUUCAAGAUGAAAGGGAAGGAGUAUGUGCUACGACCUAUGUCUCCUAGUCAAGUGAUAGCCGACAAGCAAGCCACCCACCAUGGAGAGAAGAGUGAGAAAGUCACUCACCCAAAAGUGAGUGAGAGCCACAAGCCAAAUAUGAGCGCCUCUUCGCCUAGAGAGAAAAACCUCAUCCUAUUUGCCACCAAAAGUGAGAUAAGAGAAUUGUGUGAGAACCCAUCGAGUGUGAUGCACUUUGUCCUUGUGUGCAAGGAUGGAGAACCAAAAAGUAACACUUCUCACGAGCUACCUUUAGUGUUUCAAUCUCUUUUGCAGGAAUUCCAAGAUGUUUUCCCCGAUGAGCUACCUCCGGGUCUACCUCCUCUACGAGGCAUUGAGCAUCGAAUCGACCUCAUCCCCGGAGCACCACUUCCAAACAAAGCUCCAUACCGUGUCAAUCCCGAAGAAACCAAGGAGAUUCAAUGGCAAGUACAACAACUCAUCGACAACGGUCAUUCUUCUCUUCGUUUGCUACUUUUGCAAGAGGCUCAUGGAGGUGGACUCAUGGGACACUUUGGACGCGACAAGACUUUCGCCACGCUCUCCAAGAACUACUUUUGGCCAAAGAUGUUCUGCGACGUCUCACGCUUCACCACACGAUGCUCCACAUGUCGCAAAGCUAAGUCAAAAGCUCAAUCCCAUGGUCUUUACAUGCCACUUCCUAUUCCUUAUCAACCUUGGGAAGACAUUAGUAUGGAUUUUGUACUUGGUUUGCCUAGAACUCAAAAUGGAAAGGAUUCCGUGUUUGUCGUUGUGGACCGAUUUUCUAAGAUGGCACAUUUCAUUCCUUGCAACAAGAUAGACGAUACUUCACAUAUUGCAAAUCUCUUUUGUAGGGAAAUCUUGCGCCUCCAUGGAGUACCAAAGACAAUCGUCUCCGACCGCGACGUCAAGUUCUUGAGUUACUUUUGGAAGACUCUAUGCGCCAAGCUCGGAAUCAAGCUCUUGUUCUCAUCCGCAUACCAUCCUCAAACCGACGGCCAAACGGAGGUGACGAACCGGACACUAUCCACUCUACUUCGCGUGUUGAUCAAGAAGAACAUCAAGGAGUGGGAGGCGUGUCUACCCAUCGCCGAGUACGCCUACAACCGCGCAAGACAUACGACUACCGGCAAGUCCCCCUUCGAGGUCGUCUAUGGCUUCAACCCAUUGUCCCCAUUGGACAUUCUACCUCUUCCUCUACAAGAGCGCACCAAUCUCGACGCAAUUGCCCGUGCAAGCUACAUCAAGAAGAUGCAUGAAGAUACAAGAAACACCAUCGAGCACCAAGUACAACGACUAGCGACCAAGCUCAACAUCAACAAACAACCCAUGAUCUUCAACAUAGGCGAUCUCGUGUGGCUACACCUUCGCAAGGAACGCUUCCCCAACGAACGCAAGUCCAAACUACUACCUCGAGCCGAUGGACCCUUCAAGGUGUUAGCACGCUACAACAACAACGCCUACAAGCUCGACCUACCAAGCAACAAGUACAACGUGAGCGACACCUUCAACGUCAAAGACCUCUCGCCUUUCCAUGGUGAUGAAGAUCUAGAUCCGAGGUCGGAUCCUUUCGAAGGGAGGGGAUAUGAUGUGGAGCAUCCUUCCAUCAUCCCCAUGGACUCUACAGCAACACAUCCAACCCCUCAAGGACCUAUGACUCGAGCACGUGCAAGAGCUCUUGAAACCGAGGUGACAUCACUCCUCUCACAAUUCCCUUUCGAUUCACAUGAGACAUGGUUACUACCUCAAACGGAAA
This 6822-nucleotide long non-coding RNA is filed under the name Triticum aestivum (bread wheat). RNAcentral's name for it is "long non-coding RNA (TAES_LNC005738)". The record is from RNAcentral. Lineage: Eukaryota; Viridiplantae; Streptophyta; Magnoliopsida; Poales; Poaceae.